This 784-nucleotide long non-coding RNA is filed under the name Cyanistes caeruleus (blue tit). Its description in RNAcentral is "lncRNA (ENSCCEG00000005358.1)". Lineage: Eukaryota; Metazoa; Chordata; Aves; Passeriformes; Paridae. The record is from RNAcentral.
AGCACUGCUUACAAGCCAGGAAUUAGCCCAGAAUUAUACAGAACAGCUGCCUUUCCUGUUCUCUCUGUCUCUCUCUCUCCUGGUUUUCUACUUCCCCUUUGCUUGCUGAUAUUAUUUGUUUUGUUUUCUUGGAAACUAGGUCUGUACCAGUUAGAUUCCCCUAUUUUCUUUGUUUAUUAAGAUGCAAAAUCUGAUUGUUGAAUGCACAAGUGGGUACUGAAGGCUGUGUGAACAUGGAACCAUGUCAGACCUAUACCUGUAGCAGACUGUAUUGUCCUUUUUUUUUAUGGUAAAUUUAUAUGUGGAAAAGAGGAUGUAAAAAUGGAUUCUUGACAGUAUGCUGGGCCAGAUUCUCUGGUAGCUGCACAAAAGCUUCACUCCAGGUUAAACCACAAAAAUGGUGCAUGAUUCAAAAUAUUAGUCUAUGGGGUUUUGGAAAGAAGCAUACUUUGGAGAUUUAGCUGAUCCAGCUCAGACAGAAACAGACUAAUCAUCUCUGGACAAGACGGAAUGAUGAAAGAGAGCAGUCUCAUUCCUUUACAGUGUGCCAAGUCUUGUCUGAGAGAAGACAGCUAGGGAUAUAACAAGGAGACACCAAUAUGUUCCAGGUAAAAUAUACAUCAAGAGUAAUAUAAAAGCAAGGACAAGUGUUGGGGCACACUGAGCACCACAAACUAGGGGCAGCCAGAAGCAAUAAUUGUAAGAAUCUUAUGUCCAUUUGAGAUAGCGAGUUUUGGAAUUCUGUGCUGUGUCAGAAGUCCACAGACCCUGUUCUGUAUUUCAG